RNAcentral lists this ribosomal RNA (899 nucleotides) under uncultured bacterium. Its description in RNAcentral is "bacterial SSU rRNA". It matches the Rfam family "Bacterial small subunit ribosomal RNA", at positions 1 to 898 of the family's 1533-position model. The record is from RNAcentral.
UAGAGUUUGAUCCUGGCUCAGGAUGAACGCUAGCUACAGGCUUAACACAUGCAAGUCGAGGGGCAGCAUGGUCUUAGCUUGCUAAGGCCGACGGCGACCGGCGCACGGGUGAGUAACACGUAUCCAACCUGCCGUCUACUCUUGGACAGCCUUCUGAAAGGAAGAUUAAUACAAGAUGGCAUCAUGAGUCCGCAUGUUCACAUGAUUAAAGGUAUUCCGGUAGACGAUGGGGAUGCGUUCCAUUAGGUAGUAGGCGGGGUAACGGCCCACCUAGCCAACGAUGGAUAGGGGUUCUGAGAGGAAGGUCCCCCACAUUGGAACUGAGACACGGUCCAAACUCCUACGGGAGGCAGCAGUGAGGAAUAUUGGUCAAUGGACGAGAGUCUGAACCAGCCAAGUAGCGUGAAGGAUGAAGGUCCUACGGAUUGUAAACUUCUUUUAUAAGGGAAUAAACCCUCCCACGUGUGGGAGCUUGUAUGUACCUUAUGAAUAAGCAUCGGCUAACUCCGUGCCAGCAACCGCGGUAAUACGGAGGAUGCGAGCGUUAUCCGGAUUUAUUGGGUUUAAAGGGAGCGCAGACGGGUCGUUAAGUCAGCUGUGAAAGUUUGGGGCUCAACCUUAAAAUUGCAGUUGAUACUGGCGUCCUUGAGUGCGGUUGAGGUGUGCGGAAUUCGUGGUGUAGCGGUGAAAUGCUUAGAUAUCACGAAGAACUCCGAUUGCGAAGGCAGCACACUAAUCCGUAACUGACGUUCAUGCUCGAAAGUGUGGGUAUCAAACAGGAUUAGAUACCCUGGUAGUCCACACGGUAAACGAUGGAUACUCGCUGUUGGCGAUAUACUGUCAGCGGCUUAGCGAAAGCGUUAAGUAUCCCACCUGGGGAGUACGCCGGCAACGGUGAA